AGGAGGCAGGGGUAUGAUCUGCCCUUCACAGUUCUCCGGGGGGUUCAUCUGGGACUCCCUGCCACGGUGCCUCCAGGUGGCCCUUCCAUGUGGUCUGGGCUCUCACAGCCUGGUGGCUUAUUGCUAAGUGCAAGCAUUCUAAGAGACAAGAUGCAGAACAGCCAGUCUGAAAUCCUAGGUGUGGACAGUAGCACGACAUCACUUUGUUAUGAUUUCUGUUAUGAUUUGUUGUUUAAAGCAGUCAGGGAGCCCAACCAGAUUCAGUGUGGGAGACAGGAAGAGCAUGUGAAAAAUGCCAUCCUCCUGAAUUCACCAGGAUCCACUCUCUCACUGCAGAUUAUUAGUAUAUGUACAUAUUUCCCACACGCAAAAUGUGCACUGCCCUUGCCCUCCACAUCACUUCCUAAGCCCUCCUUUCCACCUAAGUUUCACUUGUACCAUGAUGGCUUCAAGUCCAAGUUCAAGGGUCAAGGUUUUAUGAUCUAAAUGAGGCCCAGGUGUGGAUGAGGCUCCUUGAGUGUGGGCCCUCUCUAUUUGAAAACCUGUGAACCAAAGAGACACGUUAUCUACGCACACAGACUAGACAUAUUAACACAAUGUUGGACAGGCAAAUCAAAACCACAAAUGACAUUCCCGUUCAAAAGUGAGGAAGAUGGGAGGUGCAUGAUGCCAGUCACUCGUCCACAGCAGUUAUCAAAUCCAGCUGGGCACGUACUGCCAGUUCUUUGAAUUAUUCUGCUUCCUGGGAAUGAUUUUUCAUGGUUCGUGGCUCUGGGCCCGGGUUUCUCCUUUCUUCCUUCAAGCCAUCUUUCUUUUUCCAUAAUACAUAGACCGUUCACAUCUGAAUGUUUCUACUACUUUCUUUCUGCCCAUUGUAGUUUGGGGAGGGGGUAAUCCAAUUCCCACUGUUUCCUACAGUUCAAGCUGAUAUAAUUCUUUUAAAAAUGUCAUAGGUUCCUUGUGUAUCACAUUAUUUUAAUAGUACACUUCACCAGACGAGAGUACAUAGCCUCUUCAUUUGAGCCAAGUCAGGAUGCUCUGGGAAAGCACCCUUAAGAUCUCAGAAGAUUGUUGCUUAAUUAGAAGAAUCCUUGAGACAUCUCAAUUUUUAACAGUACCCACUAUUAAAGAGAAAAAAAUCUGUUUGUAAUCUCUGAGUAAUGGCCUUCAGAUUAUUAGAAGCCUUGCUAAGUAUACACAUAAAAUAUUCUGAGGGUCCAUCUGGAGGUCGUACAGCCACACUGUUAAGGUCUUUACACUGAGACCAUGCUUCACCAGAUUUAAUGUUCAUCCUGAGGUCAUUCCGUAUUUUUUGAGUCUUUUGCAACUGGAUCAACUUGGAGUAAGAAUUUGUUUAAUUUUCUUUCUUUUUUAAUUGUUAAAUUUUUUAAAUUGAAAUUUAGUUGACUUACAAUGUUGGGUUAAUUUCUAGUGUACAGUAAAGUGAUUCAGUUAUAUAUGUGUGUGUGUGUGUGUGUGUCUAUACAUAUAUUAGGGCUUCCCUGGUGUCCUAAGAUCAUGGCAUCCGGUCCCGUCACUUCAUGGCAAAUAGAUGGGGGAAC
Molecule: long non-coding RNA, 1562 nt
Filed under: Capra hircus (goat)
Lineage: Eukaryota; Metazoa; Chordata; Mammalia; Artiodactyla; Bovidae
Description: lncRNA (ENSCHIG00010009548.1)
Source: RNAcentral